This 899-nucleotide ribosomal RNA is filed under the name uncultured marine bacterium. RNAcentral describes it as "bacterial SSU rRNA". It matches the Rfam family "Bacterial small subunit ribosomal RNA", at positions 56 to 1004 of the family's 1533-position model. The record is from RNAcentral.
UGCAAGUCGAACGAAGUAGCAAUACUUAGUGGCAGACGGGUGAGUAACAUGUAGGUAUCUGCCCUUUGGCCUGGAAUAACACGAGGAAACUUGUGCUAAUACCGGAUAAGUCUUUACGGAGAAAGCUUUAUGCACCAUUGGAUGAGCCUGCACUUGAUUAGUUUGUUGGUGGGGUAAUGGCCUACCAAGACUGUGAUCAUUAGCUGAUUUGAGAGGAUGAUCAGCCACAUUGGGACUGAGACACGGCCCAAACUCCUACGGGAGGCAGCAGUGGGGAAUCUUGCACAAUGGAGGAAACUCUGAUGCAGCGAUGCCGCGUGAGUGAAGAAGGCCUUUGGGUUGUAAAGCUCUUUCGUCGGGGAAGAAAAUGACUGUACCCGAAUAAGAAGGUCCGGCUAACUUCGUGCAGCAGCCGCGGUAAUACGAAGGGACCUAGCGUAGUUCGGAAUUACUGGGCUUAAAGAGUUCGUAGGUGGUUGAAAAAGUUGGUGGUGAAAUCCCAGAGCUUAACUCUGGAACUGCCAUCAAAACUUUUCAGCUAGAGUAUGAUAGAGGAAAGCAGAAUUUCUAGUGUAGAGGUGAAAUUCGUAGAUAUUAGAAAGAAUACCAAUUGCGAAGGCAGCUUUCUGGAUCAUUACUGACACUGAGGAACGAAAGCAUGGGUAGCGAAGAGGAUUAGAUACCCUCGUAGUCCAUGCCGUAAACGAUGUGUGUUAGACGUUGGAAAUUUAUUUUCAGUGUCGCAGCGAAAGCGAUAAACACACCGCCUGGGGAGUACGACCGCAAGGUUAAAACUCAAAUGAAUUGACGGGGACCCGCACAAGUAGUGGAGCAUGUGGUUUAAUUCGAAGAUACGCGCAGAACCUUACCAACACUUGACAUGUUCGUCGCGACUCUAA